Long non-coding RNA from Saccostrea cuccullata (small rock oyster), 505 nucleotides. RefSeq lists it as uncharacterized. The transcript has 3 exons. NCBI's taxonomy places the organism in Eukaryota, Metazoa, Mollusca, Bivalvia, Ostreida, Ostreidae. The record is from RefSeq and is a predicted model, not a curated record.
UUUUACACUGUGUGUUACCGACACCGGAUAUUGCUACCAUCGAGGCGAGGAGUUCUUCACAUUUGAACAGGACAGAGAUAUAACGGCUGUUUGCCUGUUUCUAUUGCAAAGCAACAGCGUCAUCCUUCGAGGAUAUCGUCACCCAAAUGUUAUUUCAUAAUACAUAAGAAAUAAUCGAAGAAAAAAUGUAUAAUACACCUUCAAUUUUCGUAUUGUACCAGACAUUUGCCAGGAGCAAGCUAUAGGGAAUUUAUUACAAUAAUGUAAACCAUAUAUAAAUCAUUCCUAGGGACCACGUAUUUAAUUCCGACGAAAAGAACAUGCAGCAAGGAGAAAAUUAACAUUGAUGCCCUAGACGCAGCAACACAUAGCUACGGAGUUGCGCCAGUACGACAGUAUCAUAAAUGUGAUCAAAGCAAAAUAUUGACAUAGAAAAAAAUUAAAUUGAGAAAUUUCAGCGUUUCUGUGAAAUUCACAAAUAAAACGAAAAAAUAACUAUAGUAUA